CUAAACUUGAAAUAAGACUAAUCUGUAAUUUUUGAAGGGAGUGCAAAAUUAUCAAAAAUCUGAGAAGUCUAUGUAUUUAUCCUAAUUCUAUUAACUAGGCCAACAAUUUUCAAUCAACUGGGCACUCGAAAGUUACAAAUUUUCAGGAACAUUUCCCCCAGUGCACAAUGUUAAAUCCAGGUAAUUUAAAGUACUAGUGUAAAAAAGGAGAUAAGGCUGCCUGAAAUCUGCAUCCUACCAUAAUUUUAAACUAAAGAACACAAAUAUACGAUGUAAUUUUUUGCGUUCCGCCCUCCUCUCAAGAAAAAAACAUAUACAAUAAGAAAGACACACUGCCUUUCUCAGCUCCCGGGCAAAUAUCUUUAUCACACAAUCAAGACAGCAGCGGAGCAAACCCGAAACAGAAGAAAAUGCAACUCUUCCCCAUAGUAACUUCUUCAAACAGGACUACAAACAGCUCUGGCAAAGGUAGGGUUCACAAAAAGUAAUCCGGAGUCUUGCGAGUCGUGUCAGGUUCAAUCUGCCGAGGAGCUGGGUCGAAUUGGAGGAAAUUCUGCUCCAUAUUUUCCCCGAUUUCAAGUAUUGCAGCCAUGUUCCCACAGCGAUAACAGUAGUUUGGAGCACUAAAAACUGUCACCACAUUCUUCUCCUACAAUAUAGCAUGGGUGAUUAUUAAUUAUAUGUAGAGAAUAUAGCAUCUUUGGUCCCUAAUCCAUUGUUCGAGUAGCAAGUUGGUUGGUCAUACACAGUUGCAAAAUAGACCCCAACAAAA
This 772-nucleotide long non-coding RNA is filed under the name Olea europaea subsp. europaea. The record is from RNAcentral. Lineage: Eukaryota; Viridiplantae; Streptophyta; Magnoliopsida; Lamiales; Oleaceae.